RNAcentral lists this non-coding RNA (781 nucleotides) under Mesembrinella sp. ACMJ-2016. Lineage: Eukaryota; Metazoa; Arthropoda; Insecta; Diptera; Calliphoridae. The record is from RNAcentral.
AAGUUUUAUUUUGGUUUUAAAAAUUAUUAUUAGUUUAAUUUAUAUGUAAAUUUUUAUAUUAAUUAUUAUUUAUUUUAAAAAUAUUUAAUCAUAUUUUAUUUUCAAUAAUUAAAAUUAUUAAUUAAGGAAACUUAUAUAUAGUAAUAUUAAAAAGUAUUUACUAAAUUUGUGCCAGCAGUUGCGGUUAUACGAAUAAUACGAAUAAUUUUUUUUUUAGUUAAAGUUAAAUUAAUUUGAAUAAAAAAAAUCAUUAAGUUUAUUAAGUGAAAUUUUAAAUUUGUUAAUUUUUUAAUAUAAAUAAUUGAAACUUGUAAAAUUUAAUAAUAAACUAGGAUUAGAUACCCUAUUAUUUAAAAAAUAAAUAAAAAUUAAGGUAGUAUUAGUUAUUUUCUUUAAACUUAAAAAAUUUGGCGGUAUUUUAAUCUAUUCAGAGGAAUUUGUUAUGUAAUCGAUAAUCCACGUUGGACCUUGCUUAAGUUUGUAAUCAGUUUAUAUACCGUUGUUAUUAGAAUAUUUUAUAAAAAAGUUAAUUUUCAAAAUUUUUAAAAUGAAAUAAUAUCAGAUCAAGGUGUAGCUUAUAUUUAAGUAUAAAUGGAUUACAAUAAAAUUAUUUAUAUGAAUAUAAAUUUGAAAAAUUUAUUAAAGGUGGAUUUGAUAGUAAAAUUAUAGAGAUUAAUAAUUUGAUUUUAGUUCUAAAAUAUGCACACAUCGCCCGUCACUCUUAUUUCUAAAAUAAGAUAAGUCGUAACAAAGUAGAUGUACUGGAAAGUGUAUCUAGAAU